CUUGCUUGUUAUAAACAUUAGGAGCAUUUGAUGGUAAGAUGCCAUAUAUCUUGGUAUCUAACAGGUACCCUGGGGUAUGUAAUGAGUGAGGUUGAGGAUGGAAAGCCAUUCAGCCAAGUCGUUAAUGCUGCUAAAAGCCUUGGCUACACUGAACCAGAUAUGAAGUUGGCAUCCAAGAAGUUACAAAAGAUUCUGCAUUGGGAAGAUUAAGAGGAAGUGAUGAUGUGGUGGAGAUAUACAGUCGUUGUUACGAGAAACAACCUUUGGUUAUCCAAGGUGCUGGAGCAGGAAAUGAUACCACAGCAGCUGCUG
Solanum stenotomum is the source of this 312-nucleotide long non-coding RNA. RefSeq lists it as uncharacterized. The record is from RefSeq and is a predicted model, not a curated record. The transcript has 3 exons. NCBI's taxonomy places the organism in Eukaryota, Viridiplantae, Streptophyta, Magnoliopsida, Solanales, Solanaceae.